AGUCGAGCGGUUGAGGGGAGCUUGCUUCCCGAUUCAGCGGCGGACGGGUGAGUAAUGCCUAGGAAUCUGCCUGGUAGUGGGGGACAACGUUUCGAAAGGAACGCUAAUACCGCAUACGUCCUACGGGAGAAAGCAGGGGACCUUCGGGCCUUGCGCUAUCAGAUGAGCCUAGGUCGGAUUAGCUAGUUGGUGGGGUAAAGGCUCACCAAGGCGACGAUCCGUAACUGGUCUGAGAGGAUGAUCAGUCACACUGGAACUGAGACACGGUCCAGACUCCUACGGGAGGCAGCAGUGGGGAAUAUUGGACAAUGGGCGAAAGCCUGAUCCAGCCAUGCCGCGUGUGUGAAGAAGGUCUUCGGAUUGUAAAGCACUUUAAGUUGGGAGGAAGGGCAUUAACCUAAUACGUUGGUGUUUUGACGUUACCGACAGAAUAAGCACCGGCUAACUCUGUGCCAGCAGCCGCGGUAAUACAGAGGGUGCAAGCGUUAAUCGGAAUUACUGGGCGUAAAGCGCGCGUAGGUGGUUUGUUAAGUUGAAUGUGAAAUCCCCGGGCUCAACCUGGGAACUGCAUCCAAAACUGGCAAGCUAGAGUAGGGU
Molecule: ribosomal RNA, 597 nt
Filed under: bacterium 83-L049393-122-001-C11
Lineage: Bacteria
Description: bacterial SSU rRNA
Rfam family: Bacterial small subunit ribosomal RNA
Source: RNAcentral